UUCACACUCGUGGCGGAAAAGCUCAGUAACACGUGGAAAACGGCCCUACAGAGAACGAUAACCUCGGGAAACUGAGGCUAAAAGUUCAUACGGGAGUCAUGCUUGAAUGCCGACUCCCCGAAACGCUCCGGCGCUGUAGGAUGUGGCUGCGGCCGAUUAGGUAGACGGUGGGGUAACGGCCCACCGUGCCAAUAAUCGGUACGGGUUGUGAGAGCAAGAACCCGGAGACGGAAUCUGAGACAAGAUUCCGGGCCCUACGGGGCGCAGCAGGCGCGAAACCUUUACACUGCACGCAAGUGCGAUAAGGGGACCCCAAGUGCGAGGGCAUAUAGUCCUCGCUUUUCUCGACUGUAAGGCGGUCGAGGAAUAAGAGCUGGGCAAGACCGGUGCCAGCCGCCGCGGUAAUACCGGCAGCUCAAGUGAUGACCGAUAUUAUUGGG
RNAcentral lists this ribosomal RNA (440 nucleotides) under Haloferax sp. RNAcentral describes it as "bacterial SSU rRNA". It matches the Rfam family "Archaeal small subunit ribosomal RNA", at positions 68 to 508 of the family's 1478-position model. The record is from RNAcentral. Lineage: Archaea; Methanobacteriati; Methanobacteriota; Halobacteria; Halobacteriales; Haloferacaceae.